GAGACUUGAGAGUUGAGAGAACCUUGAAUAAGUAAAUAAUAAAAAAAUUAAAAUUAAAAAUUUUCAUUUUUUGUUGGUGGAAAAAAAACUUUUCAUUCAACAGCAACAAAGAGAGAUAUGGUGAUGAGUGUAGAGCAGAUGCAGAGAAGAGAUGAACAAAUAAAAUAAAUAAAGGUGUCGUUCUUCUUGAAUGGGAAUCUCGCUUUUGCUUUGGUCCACAACAAUGGUGUCUGUGCGAGACUGAAAAGCAGCAAAAAGAGAAGGGGAGAGAUGCCAAAGAGAAAAUGGUAUUAUGGGGAAAAGGAGAUAUGGAUUGUCGCUUUGUGGCUGGCCUUCAAUGGCGUUAAGUCCAGCAUGAUCACUGCCUAUCGUAAUCCGUUUUUGGACGGUUGCCUGUUUUUUCAUCCGCGCCUGCGCCUGCGCCUAUGAUAAUGUCGUCUUCUUCUUCGUAGAGCUCGUUCGGGACCGGUCUCAGGUAGCCGUUGACAAGAAGGUUUCAUUUCGGCCUAGGGUUUCCGAAUGUGAUCGUCCCGGAGGAACUUGUGAGAUCUGAAGAAUCUUGAGAAACUUUUAACUACUGCAGCAGCUUGAUUUCGGAACCGGAACGCCUGAAAUCUAGCAGAGGUUGUGGUUUUCAGUGCGCUUAGAGGUGGAGCCGGUUCCUGGAAGAAAAAUUUCCAGUUUACUGCAGUGUGUUUUAGAUAUGCGUAUUUGAACUUUUAAGAACGCGAUGAUCGAUCGGAAAGUGAAACCUCGGGAGGUUGAGUUCGUUUGAUCCAUUCACAACUUGCAGAGUUAAAUUGCUUGAGAGUUGAGACUAACAACGCUGGCUCUGUUCUCUCUUCAUAGCUACUGGGAGCGAGUGUGAACGGUUUGAGAAUCGAAUCAAUGACUCAAUAGAGUGCAGAGACUUGUCUUUAUUCUUGCGCUUUUGGGUUCCAGUGAGGAUGCAGUUCCCAGCUUCAACAGUACUAAUACUCUUUAGCUGAUUCUUGGAAAGGCAUUACCAGUUAAAUUUAUCUCUUCAAGUGGGUUUUAUUUUUCCGGUCUCUCACAGCCUCUUUGAUUGAAUCCAUCUUGCAUGCUCAUCUUAUUUCUUCCAUUUGGUCUGUUUUUUCCUCUCCAAUUGAGUGAGCCUUUUUUUUCCUCUGCAAUUGAGUCUCAUUUCAGGGUUCUUUCAGCCUUUCUAAUUGACCCACCUAGACUGCUGAGUUGCUUGUUCGCUGGCUUAGUUACAAUGGCUAAACGAGUCUAUCCUUCAUCUGUAUUAUUGUUGCUUAUUCUUUGUCUUUUAACUCGUUACUCGGACCAACUACAAUCAUCUCAAGUUCACACCCUUCUGAGACUCCAGCGGCUCUUGAAUUAUCCGGCUGUUUUAAGCGGCUGGACCAACUCGACGGACUUCUGCAAUAUUGAACCAAGCGAGAAUCUUACUAUUGUCUGCUACGAAGAAAGCAUAACGCAGGUUCAUAUUAUUGGAAACAAGGGGACCCCUUCCUUGCCUCGGAAUUUCUCUAUUGAUUCUUUCUUCGUUAAUCUUGUAAAACUCCCAAGUUUGAAAGUCUUGACAUUGGUUUCACUUGGAUUAUGGGGUCCGCUACCGGGUAAAAUUUCUCGGUUUCCUUCGCUGGAAAUACUCAAUAUUAGUUCGAAUUUCUUUUAUGGUACAAUUCCUCAAGAGGUUUCAUCCCUGAGGAGUCUCCAGACACUCAUACUGGAUGAUAAUAUGUUCACUGGUCCUGUUCCUGACUGGUUGGGCGACCUUCCGGUUUUGUCUGUCCUGAGUUUGAAGAGCAAUUCGUUGAGCGGGCCUCUUCCGGAUUCACUAGGAGCUUUGGAGACUCUCAGGGUUCUUGCGCUUUCCAUGAACCGGUUGUCAGGGGAUGUUCCUAAUCUCAGCAGUUUGAUAAACCUUCAAGUGCUUGACUUGGAAGAUAAUCUUUUGGGACCUCAGUUUCCUAGUUUGGGAAGCAAAUUGGUUACACUUAUACUGAGAAAGAAUCGGUUUAGCUCUGCCAUUCCUUCUGAGUUAAGCUCCUAUUAUCAACUUCAGAAGCUCGAUAUUUCCUUCAACAGAUUUGUUGGUCCAUUUGCUCCGUCAUUGUUGUCUCUACCUUCCAUUACGUAUUUGAAUAUUGAGGGAAACAAGUUCACUGGCAUGCUUACCGAAAACAUGUCUUGCAAUGCUCAAAUAGAAUUCGUUGAUUUUUCCUCCAAUCUUUUGAGUGGAAGCUUGCCGACCUGUCUACUUUCGGAUUCUAAUAAAAGAGUUGUCCUGUAUGCUAGAAAUUGUCUAACAACUGCGGAGCAAAAUCAACAUCCGAAUUCAUUUUGUCGAAACGAAGCUUUAGCUGUAGGAAUAUUACCUCAUAAGCAGCAGAAGUCGAGAAGUGCUAAAGCAAUUCUUGCAACUAGUGUGAUAGGAGGGAUUGCUGGAGGAAUUGCACUUGCUGGUCUGGUUUUCUUGGUUAUUAGAAGAAUAAACACCAAAAAGAUGAUGAAAAAACCUACAACAAGGUCAAUAACAGAAAAUGCUUCAACUGGGUACACCUCAAAAUUGCUCUCGGAUGGAAGGUAUAUAUCUCAAACAAUGAAGCUGGGAGCACUUGGCCUUCCUUCUUACCGAACCUUUUCUUUGGAGGAGCUUGAAGAGGCUACAAAUAAUUUUGACACAUCAACUUUCAUGGGUGAAGGUUCACAUGGUCAGAUAUACAGAGGUAGGCUCAGUGAUGGUUCUCUUGUUGCUGUUAGAUGCUUGAAAUUGAAAAAGAGGCACAGCACCCAGAACUUUAAGCAUCACAUUGAAUUGAUUUCAAAACUCAGACAUCGCCAUUUGGUCAGUGCUCUUGGACACUGCUUUGAGUGUUACCUUGAUGAUUCUAGUGUCAGCAGAAUAUUUCUGGUCUUCGAAUUUGUUACAAAUGGAACACUAAGAGCCCAUUUAUCCGAGGGUCUUGCAGGACAAACACUUACCUGGACACAAAGGAUAGCAGCUGCCAUUGGCAUAGCAAAGGGUAUACAAUUUCUUCAUACAGGGAUUGUGCCUGGUGUAUUUUCAAAUAAUCUGAAAAUAACAGAUAUUUUGUUGGAUCAAAACCUUGUUGCUAAAAUUAGCAGCUAUAACCUGCCUUUAUUAGCAGAGAAUAUGGGAAAGGUAGGUGGAGGAGUUUCUUCUAGUGUAUCAAAAGAGUAUAGCAUUGCUGGAAGGAUAAAACAUGAAGAUAAGAUUGAUGUUUAUGAGUUUGGAGUAAUCUUGCUGGAAAUUGUUACUGGAAGACCAAUCACAUCCCAGCAUGAUGUGGAUGCUCUUAAAGAUCAGAUACAAAUAAGUAUUGCAUCUGAUGAUGCUGCUCAAAGGAGCAUAGUUGAUGCAGAAAAUCUCAAGACAUGUUCAGAUGAAUCUUUGAGGACAGUGAUUGAGAUCUGCAUAAGGUGCCUGUCUAAAGAACUGAUAGAUAGACCCUCAAUUGAGGAUGUUUUGUGGAACCUUCAGUUUGCAUCUCAGGUUCAAGAUGCAUGGAGGGGAGAAUCCCAGAGCAGUGAAGGGUCACCAGUCCCAUAUUCCCAUCCUUCAGUUCUACAGCUCUCAGUCCAAUAGCAGCUAAAUAUAAAUCCAUCUUCCACAAAUUCCAGUUUGCAAGGACAGAAGAACCUGACGCCAUUGCUUCAAAUCGAUGAUGAUAAAAGUGUUUCGGUCUCUUUGUUGUUCGUCACAAAGAUGAUUCACAACUACAACACUAUCAGAAAAAAAAAAGCCACUAAAUGCUUUUCUCAGUACCACCACGUCCCGAUUAGCACUCAAUGUAAAGGGCAAUGGUAAAUUUUCUUUAUGAUAUGGGAGUCAUGGAGAUGAAAAGUGCAGAAAAUAGAGUGUAUUAAAUUCUUUCUUGGAACCUUGCAAGUGUUUGUUAAAUCCUUGUUGACAUUGGCAGAGAUCGCAAAAAGGCCUCUUCCCUCUUAUUUAUCUUUAUUAUAACUAAAGUUGUGAUCAUGUCUUUUUCUUUUUCUUUUUUUUUUUUUUACUAUUGAAGUUGUGGUUUCUGUGUUUAUUUUGCAAUUUUGAAGGUGGUUAGCGCGGAGUGCUUUCGAAACAGUAUAGUGUACCAUUAGUGUCUUGAUAUUACAUGUUUGUACCCUAUCUGAUCAUUGACUAGCGGCUCAUUUUUCUGGUC
RNA transcript from Nelumbo nucifera (sacred lotus), 4172 nucleotides. It is a transcript of the gene named Leucine-rich repeat protein kinase family protein, with no coding region annotated. NCBI's taxonomy places the organism in Eukaryota, Viridiplantae, Streptophyta, Magnoliopsida, Proteales, Nelumbonaceae. The record is from RefSeq and is a predicted model, not a curated record.